GAUGAACGCUGGCGGCGUGCUUAACACAUGCAAGUCGAACGAAGCAUUUGCGACAGAUUUUUUCGGAAUGAAGUUGCUUAUGACUGAGUGGCGGACGGGUGAGUAACGCGUGGGUAACCUGCCUUGUACUGGGGGAUAGCAGCUGGAAACGGCUGGUAAUACCGCAUAAGCGCACAAUGUUGCAUGACAUGGUGUGAAAAACUCCGGUGGUAUAAGAUGGACCCGCGUCUGAUUAGCUAGUUGGUGAGAUAACAGCCCACCAAGGCGACGAUCAGUAGCCGACCUGAGAGGGUGACCGGCCACAUUGGGACUGAGACGCGGCCCAGACUCCUACGGGAGGCAGCAGUGGGGAAUAUUGCACAAUGGAGGAAACUCUGAUGCAGCGACGCCGCGUGAGUGAAGAAGUAAUUCGUUAUGUAAAGCUCUAUCAGCAGGGAAGAUAGUGACGGUACCUGACUAAGAAGCUCCGGCUAAAUACGUG
This 481-nucleotide ribosomal RNA is filed under the name uncultured bacterium. RNAcentral's name for it is "partial 16S ribosomal RNA". It matches the Rfam family "Bacterial small subunit ribosomal RNA", at positions 28 to 507 of the family's 1533-position model. The record is from RNAcentral.